CUUAAUACAUGCAAGUCAACUUGACUUUAGAUAGCAAUAUCGAAAGUAGGGUGGCGCGACGGGUGCGUAACGCGUUAGGUAAUCUGCCCUGAGGUCUGACAUAACCCGUCGAAAGGCGGGCUAACAUCAGAUGAUAUAUAAUCACGACAUCGUGGAAAUAUCAAAUCUUCGGAACCUUUGGGAUGAGCCUGCGUCUGAUUAGGUAGUUUGGCGGAGUAAUAGCCCACCAAGCCUACGAUCAGUAGCUGGUCUGAGAGGAUGAUCAGCCACACUGGAACUGAGACACGGUCCAGACUCCUACGGGAGGCAGCAGUAAGGAAUAUUGCUCAAUGGGGGGAAACCCUGAAGCAGCAACGCCGCGUGAAGGAUGAAAUACUUUUGUAUGUAAACUUCUGUAAGAUGGGAAAAAUAUUCUCCUCGGGAGAAUUGAUUGUACCAUCAGAGUAAGCCCCGGCUAACUACGUG
RNAcentral lists this ribosomal RNA (465 nucleotides) under uncultured bacterium. RNAcentral describes it as "bacterial SSU rRNA". It matches the Rfam family "Bacterial small subunit ribosomal RNA", at positions 47 to 507 of the family's 1533-position model. The record is from RNAcentral.